AUUGAACGCUGGCGGCAGGCCUAACACAUGCAAGUCGAGCGGAUGAAGGGAGCUUUCUCCUGGAUUCAGCGGCGGACGGGUGAGUAAUUCCUAGGAAUCUGCCUGGUAUUUGGGGAUAACGUCCGGAAACGGGCGCUAAUACCGCAUACGUCCUGAGGGUGAAAGUGGGGGAUCUUCGGACCUCACGCUAUCAGAUGAGCCUAGGUCGGAUUAGCUAGUUGGUUUGGUAAAGGCCUACCAAGGCGACGAUCCGUAACUGAUCUGAGAGGAUGAUCAGUCACACUGGAACUGAGACACGGUCCAGACUCCUACGGGAGGCAGCAGUGGGGAAUAUUGGACAAUGGGCGAAAGCCUGACCCAGCAAUGCCGCGUGUGUGAAGAAGGUCUUCGGAUUGUAAAGCACUUUAAGUUGGGAGGAAGGGCAGUAAGUUAAUACCUUGCUGUUUUGACGUUACCAACAGAAUAAGCACCGGCUAACUUCGUG
This 484-nucleotide ribosomal RNA is filed under the name uncultured bacterium. RNAcentral's name for it is "partial 16S ribosomal RNA". It matches the Rfam family "Bacterial small subunit ribosomal RNA", at positions 30 to 507 of the family's 1533-position model. The record is from RNAcentral.